Oryza sativa Japonica Group (Japanese rice) is the source of this 1590-nucleotide RNA transcript. RefSeq lists it as uncharacterized. The record is from RefSeq and is a predicted model, not a curated record. Lineage: Eukaryota; Viridiplantae; Streptophyta; Magnoliopsida; Poales; Poaceae.
UGUUACUAUUUUUUUCUAUAAAUUUAGUUACACCUUUUCCUUUUUCUUAUAUAUUUUCUAGAAAAAAUACCAUCGGUACUAACGAAAACCUACUACGUGCCAUCAAAAUUUUCUAAAUUUGAAAACAUACCACUACCGUACGUCACUGCCGUCACAAUUUCUGUCCCCUUCCCCCAAUCCCAUGGCCAUGGAGAAGCUCUGUUCGUGCCGCUGGUGGCUGCUUCUUGGUUCCGGCAAGAAGGGCGAGAGCAGGCGCGGGCAGCUGGUGGCCAGCGGCGUACUGCGCGCGGGAACGUGGUGUGGAUGCGGCAAGCUAGCUCCCCCUGCCGGCGCUUCCCUAGCUUCUCGUAUGUAAUGGUCGAUCGAACGCCCCUCUCGAUCGCACGCAAGAACUGCUUCAAUUUCUACCACUUAUUUGUUGAAUUUGUGGAUGGUUUCUUGGUCAAUUUUGAUUAGUCGACGUUCGAUCGGCAUGGCGAGUGUGCUGGCGUGCGGCAGCACCAACUUCUCGGGUCUACAAGGAGCGCGUCAUGCUGGUGCUAGCUGUUCGUGCCGUUGGGUAGAGUACAUGUCGUCGUGCCUUCUAGUCUAGUGAUGGCUAGCUACAGCUUCACUCCGGCGCGCGAGCCACGUCGUACGUAGUGUGCUGGGCCUGGGCGCAGGUGGCGAGCUUCGCGAAGAAGAACGGCUCGGGCGGCGGCGGCGGGUCGCCACCCCAUGCGUGCGGCAACCAUUGGUGGCGUGGCAGGUGUCUCCCUGCAGCUCCGCGACGAGGCGAGCUGUGCCUGUGAGAAGCCGAUGGCGACGAUCUACUGGAGACUUGCGGCCGUGCGGAAGGAGGAGAUAGUUCGGAAAGUAUUUUUAGCACCUAGGUGCUGCGGCACCUAGGCUAGAAACCACACGAUGGUUUAAAGAUUCGUGCGUCAAAUAGUAUACGGAGAUGUUAGGAAUUUAGGAUCGUAUUUUCUUUAUUUUGAGUGCACGCUCGAAAUACAGCGCUGGCCCACCUGAAGAUUCGUAUGUGGGUUGUUGUGGGGGGGGGACCAAUACGUGUGUAUGACACCUCCUAUUCUCGUCCAGAUUCUCAAGAGUUAUCGGGACCGAAUCGCCACCCGCCGCCGCCGCGGCCGCUCGCCGCUAGCCGGCCGCAUCCCCGUUGCAUCUUCCUUUGGCGGAAGCGGCACUCCAUCCAGUCUCGCCGAGUCUCCGGCCGAGGACUUCCAUCAGUUCUUCAUCCGUGCUGUGAGCGGAUGCCGGCAAGACGACACGAGCUGAGCCGAGGCAACAAUACGUUAAGGUCAGCAAAACAAUCAAUUUCUUCCCCUGCCGCACAAGCACGCAUUCUUUUGUCGCCGCCGCCACGGAAGAACUCUAGGGCUUUCAAUUCUUCAGCAAACGGCGAACGAUUUUAUCCAUGGUUGUUUUUCCCUACAUUUUGCUGGAGGAAAGAAAGAAACCACACCAGAUCUGUUUUUUUUUUGCACAUUUUUUUUAGAUCAAAGGCUUCACGCCCGGCUUUACUGAGAUAAAGGCUUCACUUUUUUUUGGCACAUUCUGAUCUACUGAAAUGAAUUUUCAAUUUCUUUUGCA